UGCGUAGGCGGAUUGAUAAGUCAGUGGUGAAAACCUUCAGCUUAACUGGAGACUUGCCAUUGAUACUGUUAGUCUUGAGUACGGUCAAGGUAGGCGGAAUGUGUAAUGUAGCGGUGAAAUGCUUAGAUAUUACACAGAACACCGAUUGCGAAGGCAGCUUACUGGGCCAUUACUGACGCUGAGGCACGAAAGCGUGGGGAGCGAGCAGGAUUAGAUACCCUGGUAGUCC
This 229-nucleotide ribosomal RNA is filed under the name uncultured bacterium. RNAcentral's name for it is "partial 16S ribosomal RNA". It matches the Rfam family "Bacterial small subunit ribosomal RNA", at positions 568 to 796 of the family's 1533-position model. The record is from RNAcentral.